Molecule: ribosomal RNA, 120 nt
Filed under: uncultured bacterium
Lineage: Bacteria
Description: partial 16S ribosomal RNA
Rfam family: Bacterial small subunit ribosomal RNA
Source: RNAcentral
UCGGAGUUGGAUGAGCCCGCGUUGGAUUAGCUAGUUGGUGGGGUAAUGGCCUACCAAGGCGACGAUCCAUAGCUGGUCUGAGAGGAUGAUCAGCCACACUGGGACUGAGACACGGCCCAG